UGAGGAAUAUUGCGCAAUGGAGGAAACUCUGACGCAGCCAUGCCGCGUGAAGGAUUGAAUGCCCUAUGGGUUGUAAACUUCUUUUUGUACGGGAAAAAACCCUUGCUCGUGAGCGAGGUUGAUGGUACCGUAAGAAUAAGCACCGGCUAACUCCGUGCCAGCAGCCGCGGUAAUACGGAGGGUGCAAGCGUUAUCCGGAUUUAUUGGGUUUAAAGGGUCCGUAGGCGGAUCGUUAAGUCAGUGGUGAAAGCCCACAGCUCAACUGUGGAACUGCCAUUGAUACUGGCGAUCUUGAGUGCGUGUGAAGUUAGCGGAAUGUGUGGUGUAGCGGUGAAAUGCUUAGAUAUCACACAGAACACCAAUUGCGAAGGCAGCUGGCUAACACGCAACUGACGCUGAGGGACGAAAGUGUGGGGAUCAAACAGGAUUAGAUACCCCGGUAGUCCCUGAGCGGGCUGGCAAGGCGCAU
RNAcentral lists this ribosomal RNA (469 nucleotides) under uncultured bacterium. RNAcentral's name for it is "bacterial SSU rRNA". It matches the Rfam family "Bacterial small subunit ribosomal RNA", at positions 355 to 825 of the family's 1533-position model. The record is from RNAcentral.